RNAcentral lists this ribosomal RNA (240 nucleotides) under uncultured bacterium. RNAcentral describes it as "partial 16S ribosomal RNA". It matches the Rfam family "Bacterial small subunit ribosomal RNA", at positions 95 to 334 of the family's 1533-position model. The record is from RNAcentral.
CCGGCGCACGGGUGAGUAACGCGUAUGCAACUUACCUAUCAGAGGGGGAUAACCCGGCGAAAGUCGGACUAAUACUGCAUGAAGCAGGGAUCCCGCAUGGGAAUAUUUGCUAAAGAUUCAUCGCUGAUAGAUAGGCAUGCGUUCCAUUAGGCAGUUGGCGGGGUAACGGCCCACCAAACCGACGAUGGAUAGGGGUUCUGAGAGGAAGGUCCCCCACAUUGGUACUGAGACACGGACCAA